CCCUUAGACACUCUAGGCGGCACGCGCGCUACAAUGGGUGGAAGAACGUGUUACUGCCUCCGAAAGGAGGGGUGAAUCACGAAUUCUUGCCCGUGAAUGGGAUAGUUUGUUGCAAUUUUCGGACUUGAACUAGGAAUCCCUUGUAAACAUGCUCAAGAAUGGCGUGUUGAAUACGUCCCUGCCGUUUGUACACACCGCCCGUCGUUUCUUCCGACUGAUACUCAUUGUGAGUUGCAAGGACCCUUUAUUGGGAAAUUGCUGCAAAUGCUUUGUAUUGGAGGAAGAAAAAGUCGUAACA
RNAcentral lists this ribosomal RNA (298 nucleotides) under uncultured eukaryote. Its description in RNAcentral is "partial 18S ribosomal RNA". It matches the Rfam family "Eukaryotic small subunit ribosomal RNA", at positions 1470 to 1796 of the family's 1831-position model. The record is from RNAcentral.